GCAGCUGGGCGCGGAAGCGUGGGGCGGGCUGCACGUCCCGCCUGCCCUGCUCCGCCCCUAGCCGGCCCGGCCCCGGCCUCUCCGGAGCCUCGAGGCGUCGUUCCCCACCUCCGCCUGGGCGGAUAGGUCGGUGCGGUGGGCGGAGACCCGGCCAGAGCCUGGCAUUUCUUGGGCACUCACCUUCAAGCGCCGAUCGUGUGCUGGACCCCGAGAGGCGUGCAGGGCCUGGGCCCGGAGUGCUCACCGAGCCUACUGUGUGCACCGACUGUGGGCCAGCUCAGUGCUGUGCGCCCCGCGGCGGGUGAGAAACCUCCAGCCUCGUCCCCAUCCGCCCAGGAGCUCGGGUUCUUCCAGGAGGGGACACUAAGCUGAUGAAAAUGACAGGAGGGAUGUGUGGAACGUGUAAUGUGUAACAACUGCCAGGCGCUGGGCCCAGAGCUAGAAGAGCAACAUUCUGUUUAAUGACGUGACCUCUUCGGAGAGGCUCCUCCUUGGUUGCCCUCUCUUCCAGUCACUGUGACAUCAUCGUGUUUUGUCUUCGCAAGCUUGUUAUGGCCGGUGAACUUUUGGUUCCUGUCUCCCCCGACACAAACAAGCUCCCGAGGGCAAAAACCUUGCUUUGUUUCCGGAAAACACUUCCAGCCCCGUGCCCUAACUGGAUCAUCAUUUGGCACACGGUAGAGGCAAUUAAGGCCUACAGCUGGUGGUCUGAUCAUACGUUCAGAGGAUAACAAUAUGCAAUGUAGCAUCCAUGGAGAGUCUCCUUCUGAAGUCAAAUUUAAAAAAAGGAAAAUGUCGGGCGCAGGCGCUCAACACACCCCGCCCGGGACGAUAAGACCACGUCAGCUUCCGCAAUGUGUUACGUCCCUCUCUAAAUUAGCCAACCCGUGCGCACCUCGUGCUCACUCCGUAUUCGCCCUGUGCCGACUCUGUGGCAACCCCUGAUUGGCCACAGCUGGGUAUAGUAGCCAGAGCCUGCGUCCCAUUCCCGCCCUGCUUCCUCGUGGCAGCCUGUGAUUGGUCACGGCCGAAUAUAUAAACCAGAGCCCGCGUAAAUAAAGCGGCAGUUCCUGUUACCACCUGAAGCGUCUCCUGUCUCAUUGGGGGGCUGUGCCGGUCAGAAAAAAAUAGAAAUUUCAGGUGUGUGGCUUCCAGUUCCUUCAGUGUCUGUGUCUUCCGGACUUGUUCUGGGGGGCUGAGAUUGCACCCCGCUCCUGUCUUGACCUUCUGCCGUGUUCCUCCGAAUCAGCCGGGUGCUGAGUCCUGGAUGCCUCCUGCACUGGCUGCCCGACCGCAGCACAGAAGGCCUGCUCCUGGGUUCCGCUGACCCGAGGUUCCCAGCAGGGCGGGGAGGUGCGGGCGGGGCCUCCCCAGUGCUCCGGGUGGUGACAGGGCCUUGGGGCAUGGCCUCUCCUCCUCCAGCCCUAGUGGCUGGCUCACUGCGGGGCAUGACUUCUCUGAGCUCAACGUGGUGAGCUGCACCUUGUGUUUUGAUUUAUGUUUUCUUAGUGGCUAAUGAUGGAGAGAAUCUUUCUGUGUACUUAUUACCAUUAACAUACCUGUUUUUUAAAAGAAAUAUUUAUUUAACCAUUUGGGAUUUUUUGUCUUUUUAUUGUUGAAUGGUAAGAAUUCUUUAUGUAUUUAUGGAUACCAAUCCCUCAUCAGAUUUGAGAAUAUUUCCCCUCAUCCUGUUGGCUUUCUUUUUAUUUUCUUAUCAGUGCCCUUUGAACAACACAUUUUUGAUAGCUUCUACCAGCCUGGGGCUUAGCUAUCUCUAGCAGACAUCUGCACCUGCCAGGAGAAACAAUUUAUCUCUCCAAGAGUAACUUCGGUCUUGUUCCUUCUAGUUCCAAGGAAAACCUCCCACUCUUCUUGUGCAUGGAUGAGCUCUCUCCUAUCUCCACCUUAGCACAAAUACGUAAAAAUGUAAAAAUCGUUCCCAAGCUCCCCUUUUUGAGGAUCUUGCACUCUUCUGCAGAUCUCCCGAGCCCAGUAAAGGGUUUGUUUGUGUCUCUCUCUCUCUCAACUAUACUGAAGAAAACCUAAACAAGGUGGGCGUAGUGGCUCAUGCCUGUAAGCCCAGCAUUCGGGAGGCUGAGGCAGGAGGUUUGUUGUGAGUUCGGGACCAGCCUGGGCUAUAAAGUGAGCUCAAGGCCAGCCUCAACUGCAUAGUGAGACCCUGUCUCAAAAAAGACAAAAAUAAAAUAAACAAUUUUUUGUUUCUUUUAUUGUA
Molecule: long non-coding RNA, 2233 nt
Organism: Cavia porcellus (domestic guinea pig)
Lineage: Eukaryota; Metazoa; Chordata; Mammalia; Rodentia; Caviidae
Exons: 4
Source: RefSeq, a predicted model, not a curated record